CCGGUACACAAUGCUCCAAAUUUCUGUUUUAGCUUCGAUUCGACUCUAUUUCGCGCCGCUCGAUGCUAAAACCCUUCUAACCCUUUCUAAACUCAUUUUCAUCCUUCCAACCUUGUUGGAAUGUAAAAUGGAACUCGCCAGCCCCUUUCUCUCGACACUUUAACCAAUUUGAUCAAAGUUCGAUAAUCGUUUUCGGGUUUCGAUACAUUACAACUAUCGCAUAUUUUUGGGACAGCAAGUUAAUAACUUUUCUUAACCAACUUUUUCUAUUAGUCAUAUUUCAUUCAUUCUCUAAUUUUUUACUUACUAUUGACUUUUCUUUCAGCCAACUCUUGCACUCUUUCCUCGACUUCUACAACUCUCGAUUUUAUUGUAUCUCUGGUCACUCCUGCUGCUGUUGAAUUAACUGCUUAUACUUUUAUUUGUUAGUUUUUUUUUAUGUAUUUGCUAUUUCGUCUUUAACUAUAUACCAUAUUUUAUACUUAAAUAGUUGCUACUUUUAUUAUUGUGGUGAUAGAUUCUAUGUUACGAGGAUGAGAAAAAAAUAUUAUACUACUAUUUCUACUGUUUACUUCUAAAUCUUAUGUGAGUUCGUUAUAUUUUAUAUUUUUAAGUUUUUCAAAUGUGCCAGACUUUUUGUUGUUUAAAGCUGCUGAAUUAUAAUUGCUUUUGUUUAAUUUAAGCUUCAAAUGCUUCUUCCUUUUUUGCCUAUUGUAUGUAAACUGAUUAAAUUAUUUUAAACCCUCUCUAUUUAGGAAUUUGUGCACGGUUAGGAUGUGUCGCUUUUUUUUUUUCGCAAACUUAUGAGGCAUUCUUUAGAUUUUUUUUUUCAUCAUUAUAUGUCUUCAAGUCUUGACGAAGAAAAAAUUUUGCUACAACAAUAUUUACCCACCGCAUCGCGCGGGGUCACUACACUAGUACUACAUUAUAGGAUAAUAAAGUAUAAUUAAGCUUUUUUACGAUCCAUUUAAGUAAAUGUAAUUAUAAAUACAAUAUAGUUAAAAAUAUAUGCAGUUAGAUGUACAACAUCCAUAAAUAUGUACAUUUUGUUUAAUUUGAUAUUUACAAGAUGUUGCAAUAAUAAUUAGUUUGUUUAAUUGCAUGGAACUGAGAAAUGUAUUUAUAAAAUUUUAUCCAUUUAUAUUUAGGGAGAUGAAACUGCUUCCUACAUAAAUAAUCUUAUUUUUUGUUUGAAAUUAUUCUCUCCGAUUGUUAAAAUUAAAAGUACGGUCGAUUUGAAGCUAAUUCCAACUACCGCAGUUGAGUCUUGAAGCUAGUUCCAACUACCGCAGUUGAGUCUUCUCGUAUAAUUUUAACUGUAAAAAUUAAAUUUAAAUUUAUCAAAUUAAAUAUUAUAUAUUAUUUAUAUUUGAAUUUGCAUGUAGUUAUAAUUAGCUGUAACUUUGUACAUAACAACUUUGCUUCACUCAGCACUUAUGGAAAAAAUUUAAAAUGCACCAGUUAUAUUGCUGACAUAUGAUAUUCCCAAUCAAUA
This 1495-nucleotide long non-coding RNA is filed under the name Ananas comosus (pineapple). RNAcentral's name for it is "long non-coding RNA (ACOM_LNC042246)". The record is from RNAcentral. Lineage: Eukaryota; Viridiplantae; Streptophyta; Magnoliopsida; Poales; Bromeliaceae.